Non-coding RNA from Salvelinus sp. IW2-2015, 3197 nucleotides. The record is from RefSeq and is a predicted model, not a curated record. Lineage: Eukaryota; Metazoa; Chordata; Actinopteri; Salmoniformes; Salmonidae.
UCUGUCACUCUCUCCCAUCCCUCUCUCUUUCCCAUGUCUCUCUCUCUCUGUCUCUCUCUGCCUCUCGCUCUCUAGCUGUAAGUUCAUUCGCUGUGGCGAGCAACAACUGUGCAAAGAGGAGGUUUGAUCCUGUUGUUGAGCAUCGUCCCUCCCUGAGAGGCUGCUGCUGCUGAUGCUGCUGCUACUGCAGCCUCAUCCACCUGCACAACCCCAUGGCUGGCUGGCUGGCUGACUGGCUGACACGUUAGGCGCUACUGCUACACGCUGGGACUGUGAGGGGGCUGCCUGCGCAUGGGGAACACCUGCCUGUGAACAAACGCUGCUGGUCGACGCGCAGGCUACUAACCCCAUUGCAAUCCACCACUCUCCACUGUGGACAACACAAAAACAAGGUGAUAUACCUUACAAUCACGGCAUGUCUUCUCUGAGGCAGGACACCAGCCUGGCUAGUAGCUCUGUGGAAGGCUGUGCCUGGACCAACACUCACAGGSAGGUUUCAUUAUGUGUGGAUAUGCUGGUGUGGAGUGAGAGCGAAAGAGAGAGAGCAGGACAGGGCUYAAAUGGGCAUCUCUUCCUCCUUAUGGAUCGCUCCUGGAGGACAGGACCACCAGGACUUCCAAGGAGGGCAGGGCUUCAGACCACCUCUGGCCCAGGUAAGAGCAUGCUGAGGGGGCAAGCGUCCCCACACAUCACCCCUUUACCUCUCCUCUCUUAUGGAGCUCCAUUUAUUUGACCACUGGCGUGUGUGAGAGAGAGAGAUGCAGACUCUUGGAAGAGAAGAUAGUUUACACCACUUUGUUCUUUUGGCUUUGGAUUGAAAAAUGCACUGUUGUUCAUUUCUAUUUGCAGAAAAACCUUUGAAGGGGCUUUGUGUUGUGCUUCAAGGCGUCUUCAAUCAAUUAUGUUGAUACAGUGUCUUUCUCUGUGUUGCUUUCCAUUGGGAUCGACUGAGGAAUUUGACGAUGCGGUCACGCUUGCUUGCGAUUCCCAUUAUUGCCUCUGUGUUUAAGAUUCUCUUCGGUGACGGGUAUUCUUGGGUGUAUAAUACGGAUCACGUUGUUAUUGCUUAAGAAUACGCGUAGUCGAGGAGAGUCCUCUUCUUCUUCUUCGUCUGUCUUCGUCUGCAGCUGAGGACUAUUGAUCAGAUCGAAGCAGCUCAAAGUACCCCCCUACCUGUUUCCUUUUAAUACUGAGGAGUUGGCACACAGAAACACAAACCGUAGAGACUGACUGACAUCCAGGCCCAUUUAUCAAGCAAGGAGACAGAGCACUGCCGGCUGCCUAUCUGUUUCAGUGAUGAUUGUGCUGUUCAGUCUUGAGAUAGUGUCGACCAACCACUCUUGUCUGCAGUUUCUUUUUUUUUACCGCCCCCCCCCCCCCACCCCUUUUCAUAAUUUUUAUACUGUGAUGUUGUCGUUUUGUCACAGAUGUUUCAGAUGUCACAUGUUUAUUUGACCAUUAUCAUGUCCAGUAUAUGAAAGUGUAUUUGCAUAUAUUCAUGCUGCAUUAUGUAUUUGUAUUGUGUGGGAGAUAUGCUACAGUGAGUGUGUAUUUCAUAGGCUUCUGAUACAACAGGAUAGUGUUGUUGUGCAGUUAUAGCAGAGGUUAGACUGCAUGGCCCUGGUCCUCUCUCAUGCAAAUCUCUCGAGUCUAUUUAUUAUCAGUCGUCCAGACCAAGCACUCUUUUCCUCCUUCUCCUUUUUUAUGCAAAUUGAUUUUGAAAUGACAUUUAUCGCGUUGGGUUUUCCACACGAAAGAGCUGCCACACCGGAGCCCAGACAACAAAAUGUCCACCGCUCUAGCGAGAGCUCAAUUUAUGCAUUGGAGGAGAGUGGGUCUCGAUAACAAUUACCACAGGCUCAAAUGGACCAUAACCGGGUUUUCCGUGUUAUCAUAUGUAUAGUAUAUGCCAUGAAUAUGUAUCAGUCAGUCCCCCUGGUUGAAUGCAGGGUGCAUUCUGAACCAUAACACCCAUGUAAAAUCCAUUUAAACACCAUAGUAGGAACAAGUUAACUUAUAGAGCCACACUCAAAAUUCCCCUCCAGAAUUUUUUUUUUAUGUCUAUUAAAUGUCAUAAAAUACUAAAUGUAUGGUAUUUAUAUUUAAAAGGUUUUAUUUUAUUUUCUUUACAAGCAUUCUUUGUCUUUUAAGAAUAAUGAAAAAAAUCAACAGCUAAACAAAUGGUCUUGAUUACUAUCAUACAAAUUAAUUAAACUAGCUGUACUAAUACCAUUUCAGAUAUUUAAAAGAACACAAUUAUAUGUUAACUGCUUGGCUCGCUUGAUAAGUAUUAAUCUAUUUAUAAUGAUAGAAAUCCCACUGAAUCUGUGUUUGAAUCGGUAGGAAAAUGAAAGAAACACCAGAAGCUUGGUUGACCCCAUAUUUCACCACUAUGGAAACUACAUAUCUGAUAAAGAUCCUAUCAGAAUGUACUUUGUAUUUCACCUUCUGUAGUGGAUCUAAACGAUUUCCAAAAAUACAUCUACAUGGAGAAAGAGAGGGUGGUAGACAUAUGUCUAAUAUGUUGUGCUUCAAUGAAUCUCUGUAUUUUCUGUUUUGAAACAAACCAGGCCCUUGCUGCUGACACGAUCUUUACCUAACCAUGAUCACGUGGUCCUGAUCAAUUCAGCUGCUGAACCAUUCUUUACCUAUGCCUGCUUUUGGGAUUUUUUCUUGUCACGUUUACAUGAUACUACUAGUAGACAAUGUCAAUUAUCCUGAUAGACAGUAAGAAUGUCAUAGCCAAUAGUCAAAUGUAUAGAUUCAGUGAAUUGAGCAUGACCUUUAUUGAACACAUCUUCAUUUACAAGAAUAGUAUUAUAAAUUGAUCCAUUUUAUUUUUCAUAUAUUCUAGCAAUGUUCUGCUUUCCUACAAAGUAUACUUGCAUACAAAUAUGACGUUUAUACAUCUUUAAGAAUUACUACAUUUGUUGUUAUAACAAAUUAUUAACAUCCUUUAAAUUCACUAAAUAUGUUACAGUAAUAUACAUUGGAAAUCCAAUGACAUUAAACCCAAUAUCUAUCUGAUAGUUUACAUUAUUUCCUUUUUAAUUUAGGUGUGUUUAAUUCAUAGCAUAUCAUUAUUUUAGUGAUAAUGUAUUACACAAACACAGCUGCAAUGUAAACGACAAUGCCAAUGACCCAUGUAUUGUAAAAGUGCCUUAUUCUAUAAAUAAAAUUUCACAAAAGAUACACAA